Molecule: long non-coding RNA, 1304 nt
Organism: Zonotrichia leucophrys gambelii
Lineage: Eukaryota; Metazoa; Chordata; Aves; Passeriformes; Passerellidae
Exons: 3
Source: RefSeq, a predicted model, not a curated record
CACUAUCCCUAUUCUUUUACACUCUAUCCUCCCACAAGGAGUCAUCUUUCUAAACUUUUGUCCACAACCAAAAAUAUCAGAUGUUUUUGGAGAAGAGUGGAAGUUGGGGCAAUCAAAUGUCCUCAUGCUGACAUGCUCUGGGAGAACACAGAAGCAGUAUUGGAGGUGCAGAAGCAACUGCAGAGAAUAAUCAGUGAGCAGCACUGAUCGUUCAAGGCUAUUUCCCUGAUUCCUGAAAUUUCCACUGAGUCUUCUUCAUUCUGGGCACGCAGUCUGCAUCUCCUGCUGAACUGGAGGAUGCUGCUCCUGAGGAUGAAAACUGUCCUAAGUCAUUCUUGUCCUUAUUUGUGGGAAGGCAGUCAGUCUGUGAGUUAGUCUGCAUCACUGAAAAGCCUUCUGCUGCCUCUAUGUAGAAAAUUCUCACCUUGGAAAUAUUAAGAUAGAAAUUAGGCAAUUAACAGAUUAGAAAUUUCAAGAAGCAAUAAAGUAUAAAUGAGUUUUCCCAUUUUCUGGGGAGGUGAAUUAACCACAACUCACCUUCUGCUUGCACCUUUCUCUCUGUGUUGUGUGAGGAUUUUGUUUGCACCACUGAUUUAUAAAGACACUGGCAACACAUCCAGCUUCUAGAGGAACAGGAAUACCCAGAGGAAAAUUUAAGCAAUCUAAAAACACCAGGAAGAAGGAGCAUUAAAAAAACUUACAAUAACAUUUAUAGAGAAUUCUAGUAGGUGCUACCCUUAAAAAGCAGUGUUUAUCACUACUUAGCAAAAUUGUUAUUUUAAUUGCUUUUUUCACAUGCUAACUCUAAAUGACUUUUUUUCCCUCAGGGAAAAAAACAAAACAACAACAACAACAAAAAAAAAAAAAAAAAAAAAAAAAAAAAAAAAAAAAAACCAAAAAAAAAAAAAAAAAAAAAAAAAAAAAAAAAAAAAAAAAAAAAAAAAAAAAACAAAAACAACCAAAAAAAACCCCACAAAAAACAAAACAAGAAACGCAAACAAACAAAAGCAACCAAAACACACCAGAGGAACAUUUUGUGAAACAUUCAGUGAAUAUGAUGAAAAAACCUUAAUGCUACCUGAGGCCUAUCCCAACAGCCCUAGGAUGAACCUCAGAACUGAGUGCCUUUUUCCUAUAGCACUGUGUCAUAGAUACUGGGUGGCAGGAAUGCCUGUUCCUGUCUGCCUGCAAGAACUACUGCUCUGGAACUGGUUCCAGCUCAUAGCAAGUGAAGCAACUGAUUCAAGCCACAGCUAUGAUUUAAAAGUCCCUAAGAAUAAAUAUUUCAUCCCUAAAAUACCAAA